GCACUGCUGAAGAGUCUCACAAUAGAACGAAACGACUGUUCAGUGC
This is a non-coding RNA of Schistosoma haematobium, 46 nucleotides long. Lineage: Eukaryota; Metazoa; Platyhelminthes; Trematoda; Strigeidida; Schistosomatidae. The record is from Rfam.